GCCUGUGAAACAAUGCCAGGAUGCAGCAGGGAGGACUGAGGUUUGGGACAGAAGGGAAUGGUGAGGUUCAGUCAAGAGAGGAACACUCAAAUGGAUCAACUGCUUAAACACAGGUCCAGUUUAUGAGAUGCCAUACAAAGGCUGGCAGACAUCACAUGGGUAUAUAAAUCUUAAAUUAUGUAGGAGGAAAGAGCUUGUGAAUUCUAUACAACCUGCAGUCUGGGGGCUUUGAGAAGUCCUAGGGAAAGAGCAAUCUUCGCAUGGUGGUUUAGCUCUGACAACAGCUGGAAAUGGUUAUUUGUUUCUAAACGAUAUCCAAAGGGGGCGUCAGAGACCCUCGGACUUGAAUUUCUUCUGAAAUCAGACUGUGGAAUCAGUUUCCUUGUUUCUAGCACAAUUAAUGAGGUGGUUAGCUCCACCCCAACCCCAGUUUGUCUUGGGUUUGUGCCCAAUUAUGAGCACAACUCUGAAAGAGAUGGUAGCAGCAAACUUCUUGGAUAUUAAUAGCUCCUGCUUUUCUUUAAAUGCUGCAAGGAAAGAGAAGCUCUUCCAGCUAUCUAAGAAAGGCUGUGUAGGACUGUGAAAUGCCGUGACCUCAAAAGGUCAAAGCAGCAAAACACUGUGCUUCAAUGUCUCUGCUCUGGACAAACUUCAGCUCUUUGUUUGCUUUGUCUUGAUGGAAAAUCAACCAAAAUCAAUACUUGUGAGAUAAGGACCCCAAGAGGACCAACAUUUCUUGAUCUGCAUAGACUGAGGAGAGAAAGAAGUGAUGCUUUACAGAUGAGAAGCUAAGCUUCAGCAGGAUGAAGUCACACUGGAAAUUAGCAGUUUAUGUAAGAAUUGAAUCCUGCUUCUGAAGUCCAGUUCUGCCAUUAAAUAAGAAGCACUCCAUUGCUCUCAGAUAUGAGUACGUAAGAUUUCCUGAAUCUGUGGCAUGCAGAGAGUUGCUUUGCCACAAUUCAUAGAUACAUCUUUCUGAAGAAAUGUUGUGUUACAAGACCCACUGAUUCUGCUGAUGCUGUUAGGAACACAAAGAUAUUUGAUGAGUCUCAUAAAACUGUGAUGGUUCCCACAUACAAUUUUGCAAAGCUGUGAGAUGAUUUAAAUAAAACCAGCUCAGUUAUUAAGAGAGGGUGUAGCUGCACUGUGUUACAUGGAGUUGAAGUAACCAGAUUCAGGUGUAGAACCAGAUGAUGCAGAGAUUGGCUUGGAACUUUCUGGGAAAAUUAUUUGUGUUGCUAAAAACCAAAGCUCCUUCAAAAUACAUUUACCCCAAAAGUUUGCUACUCCAUUUUUCAAAGAAUGCUCUCAAGUCAGCUCAUUUCACUUUCUUACAGUUUAAAAAAAAAUCCACGAAACUACAG
Poecile atricapillus (Black-capped chickadee) is the source of this 1364-nucleotide long non-coding RNA. RefSeq lists it as uncharacterized. NCBI's taxonomy places the organism in Eukaryota, Metazoa, Chordata, Aves, Passeriformes, Paridae. The transcript has 3 exons. The record is from RefSeq and is a predicted model, not a curated record.